Molecule: transfer RNA, 64 nt
Filed under: Nymphon gracile
Lineage: Eukaryota; Metazoa; Arthropoda; Pycnogonida; Pantopoda; Nymphonidae
Description: tRNA-Asp
Source: RNAcentral
AAAGAAUUAGUUAAUAAAUAAUAAUUGAAUGUCAAUCUUUAGUAACUUAAUUUAGUAUUCUUUU